Molecule: long non-coding RNA, 383 nt
Filed under: Cyanistes caeruleus (blue tit)
Lineage: Eukaryota; Metazoa; Chordata; Aves; Passeriformes; Paridae
Description: lncRNA (ENSCCEG00000023478.1)
Source: RNAcentral
GUUUCUGUGCUAUAAUAUAACUAAGAUUUGACCUGCAGGGUCUACCCCUCUAAAGAAAACUUAUCUCCUUAAAUGUUUAAUUCUGAAAUUUUUUUCACUAGAGUGGAAAAAUUCUAAAUGGAAAUACGACAAAAGCAAAUGAUGUUAAGGAGGAACUCCAUUCUGCACAGGAGCUGCUGCUGAAUUUGGUGGUGCUGAAUUCUGAGACUGACUGCAGAUUUCCAACUUCCAUGGCUGAAUCAUUUUUUCUAAGUUAACUUCCAUUAUGAAUAUGAAAAGUUUUGUCAGAUUCCUAUCUCAUGGAAAUGAUGGUGAAGAAAGAAGAGAUAAUGUGCAUGAUUAUCUGUUGUGGAAACACCUAACGUAAGAAUAAGAAUUUCCUU